CGGUGUUCAACUGGCGUGCCCGCGGGACGUCCUGCCGGUGAGCUCAGCCCGCGAGGGCGGCUCAACUUGAAAUCCCAUCGCGGUGCUCUUCAUUGAGUGUCGAGGUGGGCCGGCACGAUUACUUUUGAACAAAUUAGAGUGCUUAAAGCAGGCUAAAAUUUUGCCUGAAUACUGUGUAUAUGGAAUAAUGGAAUAGGACCUCGGUUCUAUUUUGUUGGUUUUCGGAACCCCGAGGUAAUGAUUAAUAGGAACGGAUGGGGGCAUUCGUAUUGCGACGUUAGAGGUGAAAUUCUUGGAUCGUCGCAAGACGGACUAAAGCGAAAGCAUUUGCCAAAAACGCUUUCAUUGAUCAAGAACGAAAGUUAGAGGUUCGAAGGCGAUCAGAUACCGCCCUAGUUCUAACCAUAAACUAUGCCAGCUAGCGAUCCGCCGACGUCCCUCUGAUGACUCGGCGGGCAGCUUCCGGGAAACCAAAGCUUUUGGGUUCCGGGGGAAGUAUGGUUGCAAAGCUGAAACUUAAAGGAAUUGACGGAAGGGCACCACCAGGAGUGGAGCCUGCGGGCUUAAUUUGACUCAACACGGGAAACCUCACCAGGCCCAGACACUGGAAGGAUUGACAGAUUGAGAGCUCUUUCUUGAUUCAGUGGGUGGUGGUGCAUGGCCGUUCUUAGUCGGUGGAGCGAUUUGUCAGGUUAAUUCCGAUAACGGACGAGACUCUGACCUGAUAACUAGACGCACUUGCGGCAUCUCAAAGGUCCGCCGGCGGCUGGCUUUGCGCCCGUCGUCGCGCGCGAUUUUUACUGCCGGCGUACAAUAAAUUCUUCUUAGAGGGACAAGUGG
Molecule: ribosomal RNA, 840 nt
Filed under: uncultured eukaryote
Lineage: Eukaryota
Description: SSU rRNA
Rfam family: Eukaryotic small subunit ribosomal RNA
Source: RNAcentral